UUGGAGGGCAAGUCUGGUGCCAGCAGCCGCGGUAAUUCCAGCUCCAAUAGCGUAUAUUAAAGUUGUUGCAGUUAAAAAGCUCGUAGUUGAAUUUCGAGACCGGUUUACUGGUCGUGCUUUUGUACGUACUGGUAUUAUUGGUUUCUCCUUUCUGACGAAUCAUAAUGCCAUUAAUUUGGUGUUUUGGGGAAUCAGGACUGUUACUUUGAAAAAAUUAGAGUGUUUAAAGCAGGCUCACGCUUGAAUACAUUAGCAUGGAAUAACGAAAUAGGACGUUUGAUUUUAUUUUGUUGGUUUCUAGGAUCGACGUAAUGAUUAAUAGGGAUAGUUGGGGGCAUUAGUAUUCAAUUGUCAGAGGUGAAAUUCUUGGAUUUAUUGAAGACUAACUACUGCGAAAGCAUUUGCCAAGGAUGUUUUCAUUAAUCAAGAACGAAAGUUAGGGGAUCGAAGACGAUCAGAUACCGUCGUAGUCUUAACCAUAAACUAUGCCGACUAGGGAUCGGAUGAUGUUAAUUUUUUAAUGACUCAUUCGGCGCCUUACGGGAAAC
This 548-nucleotide ribosomal RNA is filed under the name uncultured Glomus. Its description in RNAcentral is "SSU rRNA". It matches the Rfam family "Eukaryotic small subunit ribosomal RNA", at positions 548 to 1098 of the family's 1831-position model. Lineage: Eukaryota; Fungi; Glomeromycota; Glomeromycetes; Glomerales; Glomeraceae. RNAcentral also lists the same sequence under 1 other name. The record is from RNAcentral.